RNAcentral lists this long non-coding RNA (213 nucleotides) under Homo sapiens (human). Its description in RNAcentral is "HSALNT0345607". It matches the Rfam family "Eukaryotic large subunit ribosomal RNA", at positions 2587 to 2800 of the family's 3401-position model. Lineage: Eukaryota; Metazoa; Chordata; Mammalia; Primates; Hominidae. The record is from RNAcentral.
CAACCCGCUCCAGGGACAGUGCCAGGUGGAGAGUUUAACUGGGGCAGUACACUGUCAAACAGUAACGCAAGUGUCCUAAGGUGAGCUCAGGGAGCACAGAAACCUCCAGUGGAACAGAAGGGCAAAAGCUCAUUUGAUCCUGAUUUUCAGUAUGAAUACAGACCGUGAAAACAGGGCUUCACAAUCCUUCAGACCUUUUGGGCUUUAAGCAGG